UGCUUAUAGUUUGAUCCUGGCUCAGAAUCAACGCUGGCGGCGCGCCUAACACAUGCAAGUCGAACGAGAGCCUUCGGGCUCUAGUGGCGCACGGGUGAGUAACACGUGGGUUACCUGCCCUCGAGUGGGGAAUAACUCCGGGAAACUGGAGCUAAUACCGCAUACCCUCUACGGAGGAAAGGCUUCGGUCGCUCGAGGAUGGGCCCGCGGUCGAUUAGCUAGUUGGUAGGGUAACGGCCUACCAAGGCAACGAUCGAUAGCCGGCCUGAGAGGGCACACGGCCACACUGGCACUGAGACACGGGCCAGACUCCUACGGGAGGCAGCAGUGGGGAAUCUUGGACAAUGGGGGAAACCCUGAUCCAGCGACGCCGCGUGACCGAUGAAGGCCCUCGGGUCGUAGAGGUCUUUCGGCGGGGACUAUAGUGAAGGUACCCGCAGAAGCAGGAGCGGCUAACUACGUGCCAGCAGCCGCGGUAAUACGUAGGCUCCAAGCGUUGUUCGGAAUUACUGGGCGUAAAGCGAGUGUAGGCGGUUCGCCAAGUCGAUUGUGAAAUCUCCCGGCUCAACCGGGAGGGUGCGGUCGAAACUGACUAACUGGAGUCCGGGAGAGGAGAGUGGAAUUCCUGGUGUAGCGGUGAAAUGCAUAGAUAUCAGGAGGAACACCGGUGGUGAAGACGGCUCUCUGGACCGGUACUGACGCUGACACUCAAAAGCGUGGGGAGCAAACAGGAUUAGAUACCCUGGUAGUCCACGCCCU
Molecule: ribosomal RNA, 759 nt
Filed under: uncultured bacterium
Lineage: Bacteria
Description: bacterial SSU rRNA
Rfam family: Bacterial small subunit ribosomal RNA
Source: RNAcentral